GGGAAGAGAGGAAACAGCUCCUCUCCUGUUAAAGGAUGCCAAGUCUUCAGCUGAGAGCUGUUGAGGAGCACUGAUCCAUCCAUCCUUCCUACUCUGAGAGCCGUUGAGGAGCACUGAUCCAUCCAUCCGUCCUGCUCGUCCAGAUGAAUCUCACCACUGCGACUCCACAGCCUCGGCACAGACUUAUAGGUGGAGUAGACGAGGAGCUGCUCUGUGCCAUGAAGACGAAGGUGAAAGUGUUCUCCUGCCCCAGGCUGAGUGGAGUGCACUGCAUACAAAGGUAGACUGAUGUUCAUAUUCUACUAUGGACGGUGUGUGGUACAGACGGACAUCGACUGGAGCAGAACAGGCCCCGAGGACCAUUCAGCUCCUCGUGUGGUGUGUCAGAUGUGUCAUCAUGUGUGUGUCUGUGUGCAUCAAUACUGAAACCAUUAGUCUGUAUUUAUCCACCUACUGCAUCAUGUUAACUCAUUUCAACUGUGAAGAAGUUUUUUUUAAAUAUAUUUUUUAACCUUUAUUUAACUAGGCAAGUCAGUUAAGAACAAAUUAUUAUUUUCAAUGACGGCCUAGUAACAGUGGGUUAACUGCCUGUUCAGGGGCAGAACGACAGAUUUGUACCUUGUCAGCUCGGGAUUUGAACUUGCAACCUUCCAGUUACUAGUCCAACACCUGCCUCCCCAGUGUAGCCUAGGCUGUGUUUAGACAGGCAGCCAAUUCUUAUCUUUUAAUCAUUAUUUUGUCUUUUGACAAAUCAGAUCAGCUCUGAAAAAGAUCCUAUGUGAAAAAAUCUGAUGUUAUUGGUCAAAAGACCAAUUAGUGUAAAAAAUAUCAGAAUUUGUCUGCCUGUGUAAACACAGCCAAAGUAUUCACUUUUUCCUGGUAGAUCUGUGCUUACAUAAAAAAAAUAAAAAAAUUCAAUAGGGAUGUGUGCAUACAUUGUAAAGUUUUAAAAUAUUCAACUUUGAACUGUUUUCUUGUUGCUGCAUGUAGUUAGAAAUUCUAAUCAAGUAAAGUUGUUAAUUGUCUAAACUCUGAAAGUCAUUGGAUAAUAUGGUGCU
Oncorhynchus tshawytscha (Chinook salmon) is the source of this 1058-nucleotide long non-coding RNA. The record is from Ensembl. NCBI's taxonomy places the organism in Eukaryota, Metazoa, Chordata, Actinopteri, Salmoniformes, Salmonidae.